RNAcentral lists this long non-coding RNA (4620 nucleotides) under Trifolium pratense (red clover). RNAcentral describes it as "long non-coding RNA (TPRA_LNC002255)". Lineage: Eukaryota; Viridiplantae; Streptophyta; Magnoliopsida; Fabales; Fabaceae. The record is from RNAcentral.
GUGAAUGAAGGUGAAAAUGGAAACCGUUUUGCCGAAAUGAUGAAGAAAGACCUUCCACAGGUGAGUCUGAUCUUUUUGGUUAUGAAUGGCAUAUAAUUUUUAUAUGUACAGGAAGAACAAUAUGUUAGUCAAGGUCUUUUUUUUUAUAUAAAUAAGUUUACAACAUUUCAUUAUCAAUAAUGAUGGUAAUACAUGUGGGAAUAUCAAUCACAAUCAUAUUUUCCAACCACAAAACUAAUGGUUCUCUUGGGUCAAUUAUUUAUAAAAUAUAAAACUAGUGAUAUAGGCCAGAAUUGUGACAUAAACUGAAAAAGGUUCCAAGUUCCAAUUGUGACUUAAACUGAAAAAAGUUCCAAGUUUAGUUUCUUUUGCAUUUCUUUUAAAGGGUAUAAAAACCCUAUGAGAAAGUGAAUCACUGUGUGACGGAAUCUUUUUUCAUUAUCUGAAAAAGGGGUGGAGUAUAUUGCCCUAAUAACCCUAAAUUUGACCGUUGGAAUCGAUGAAUAUACUGUGUUAUAAAUUUUGUAACGGAUAGAUCAUAGAUGUCUCAAUGACCAUAGAGUAAAAUGUUGGAUGAAUUUAAUGACCCUAGUCCCGGAAUGUGAAAGCUAGUUGUUGCCUUAAUUGCUACUCAAGCAAUUGUCUCUAUCAAUGUCCGCUUUACUAUUAAAAAAAGAUAUGAAUUUUUAUUCGUAAUAAUGCAUGAAUGGUUAUAUAUUCAGCUUUAAUGACCCUUAGUCCCUUAAUUCUAUUCUGCAACUGCAAUUAGAAGUGAUUUUGCAUUAUGAACAAAACAUUCAAUCUUCUGCUUCAUAAAAACAAAACAAAAGAACCUUAAUUGAGCAAAGGUGUUCUUUCUGUCCCAUGACCAUUUUGUUUGUUACGGUAAAUUUUGAAACUUUCAUUUCAAUAUAUUUGCAUUCAUGAAUCAUAUGUGUUCCAUUUUUUCAUUUUUUUAUUUUGUCGAGAACAUUCAAUCUUCUGCUUGAAAAAGAGGUAAAACUUUACCCAUUUUUCUCGUUCUUGAUCAUUCAAGAGCAUUCAAUCUUCUGCAUGAGAAAAAUAAAAAGAACCUUAAUUAUGCAAAAAGUGUUUUGUCCCAAGAUCAUGUUUGGUACCAAUAUUUUAAAAAAACAGUUUUUUGUUUGUUACGAUAAUGCAAUUUCACACGUUUUUGGAAUUUUCACUCCAAUAUAUUUGCCCCAUCUGGUUUAUAAUCAAUACCUAUUGGGAACGAUGAUGGGCUUCGAUAAAAACUUUUAAUCUUAUGCUUUGAUAAAAAGUAAAUGGAUGUCUUGAUGCCCAAAAAAUGUUGGAUAAAUUACUUAACGACCCUAGUCCCUGAAUGCGAAAGCUAGUUGUUGCCUUAAUUGCUACUGAAGCAAUUGUCUCUAUUUCAUAAGUUAUGUAAGGGACGGAUGCCACAAUGACCUUUAAGAAAAAUGCAUUAUGAAUUCUUUAUUCAUAAUGAAAAAGUUGGAUGGUGGCUUUCAAAGGAAAGACAUUUAAUAUGAAAUUUUAUUCAAAACGUGGAUGGUGUCUAUUGUCUUUUUUUUUUUGUUUUUUGGUACAAGGUGUCUAUUGACUUUUUAUGACCCUAAUUGUGAAACUGUCACUAGUGGUAUGGUAUACACGAGAUCGCUAACUCCAAAUUCGAUGAUAAGAUGAAUAUACUUUGUUCCAUGAUUUUUGUAAGGAUUUGUCUUGGUGGCCCAAAAAUGCUGGAUGAUGCCAUAUUGUGAAAGCUAGUUGUUGCCUUAAAUGCAAUUUUUAUAUAAAAUUUCAUUCAUAAUAUAAGGCAUGGAUAAUAUCUAUUGUGCUUUGAUGACCCUAGUCCCUAGAUGCAAUUUUCCAACUACAAUAUGAAGUGAUUUUGCAAAUGCAAAAGGAAGUGCUUCCUUGUGUUUGAUUAGCCUACUGAUAAGGGUUGGGUUUCAAAGGAAUUCUCAGGAACAAAUUACAAAGAAACGAACUGUUUGGAGUAAAAACUAUUUCUUAUAAUAUUGAUGGGGUAUGUAUGAGUGCAUCGCGUCCUAGAGGCUUUGCACAAAGAUAUUGUGAACCCCUUGUUUCAUCGAGGGAUGGUGACUUUGGAAGCAGUGCUGUGGGGCUGCCACAUGUUUUUUUACUUAAAGUUGCUGCUUUAGAGACUGUAAGGAGGUUCUCANNNNNNNNNNNAAGAGUAAAUGCCCAUGUGUGUGGCGAGGUCUACAGAGUCUACGAAUCCUUGUCCUACCACAAUUUAAAUGGAUUCAGAGGUGGGCUGCCUUCAGGGGUUUGGUCAAAAGAUUGCAGGUUUGUGAUUAUCAAUUCAAUAUGGUUUCGAUACAUAUUUAUGUUUAUNNNNNNNNNNNNNNNNNNNNNNNNNNNNNNNNNNNNNNNNAUUUCAAAGCAGAAAAAUAUGUUAUGUCAGGAAAACCAUUUGCUAUGAAAUUGAAUUAUAAUUAUUUUGGAGUAGCAUCAUUUAAAAUUCUUUAGAAAAUGGUUAUAUCAUGGGUAUUUGUGUACUUCUAGACAAUCAUUGUUCCAGAACGUUUUAUGUGGGUUACUAUUUUUAUUGAAUUUGUUGUAAAAUGAUUCUUUUUCUUCCUCAUUUUUAUUUUAUAUAGUAAAGUUUGACAUUCCCUUUAUUUUGACCAGUGAGAUUCUUUUUUCUUAAAAGGCUAUUCUUGUUUACAGUAUUAUUUCAUCUUUGGCUAUUAUAAGAUAUACAAUAUGAUAUUUCCUAGACCCUUUUCCUGUAAAGGUUAAGUAGUGGAGAACGGAAUUGAUUAACAAGCUCCCUCACUUUUCUGUCAAGUUGUUUCUGUUUUUUCUCCUUCUAUUAUCCCAAAUUCAGCUCUAUACAUGAAGCAGAUGGUUAAUACUCUCUCUGCUACCAGGUACUAUCAAGACCAUUAUUCAUCCUUUCCAUUGGAACAGUCUUUACUGAUGAACUGGAAUGUAGUGAUGGAACCUCAGAUCAUAUUACUAACUCUCGUGAUUCAGAAAUAUCUGCAGCAGAACCAUCUCCUGUGCAGGAUAAUAUGAAUAUUAGGUAUAUGAUUUGAGGCUUCUUACUAAGGUUUACAUGUGCAAUUUAUCCUUGUUGCGAUGUUAUUAUAAACACUUUACUUUUGAGGUUAGAAUGGCAUAAUUUUCUACGUAAGAUCUAUGAUGAGUAUAUUAACAUUUGCUUGUUAAAUUAUUAUUAACUUCUCGGCCCAUAAUUUCUAGACGGUUAUUUGCUUAAUUGAGGAUCAUUUGACAUUAACCUAUUGCCGAAUUGAUAAAGUUGGCUUUGCAAAUAACUGAUAUGCAACAACAAAACCAAACCGUGGACCAUCCCACAUUAUGCAGGUUCCUAUGUUUCUAAUUAUUUUACUCAGAUCCUUGUUUCUGAAAAUUUGGAGUGAUAUUAGAGUCGAUGGGAAAUUAUUAUUUUUAUGUUUGGAAGUUUUCUUUGGGUUCCUAUGUUUCUAAUUAUUUACUCAAAUCCCUGUUUCUUGAGAGUAAUCUAACUGAUUACAGAACCAGUUAGUUACUUGAGAGUUAAGUCCUGAACUAAACUCUGUAACAAAAAUUGGUAUUAUGUUACUCAACUCAUCAAUCGAUGCAAGUGCGACUCUGAAAACACAAUUUCAAUUAAGUGUAGUUAGGAGACUUCUCUAUUAAAUAUAGGCAUCAUUCCGUAGUUCUGAUAAUAAUCAGUUUAGCAAGUUAGUAGUCUGGCAAUCAUUGUAUACAAUAAUCCAUCCAUGAAAUUGUGCAAAAUCUAAGAUAAUUACUGUUUGAACCGCACUAAAUCAAUUUCUUUUCUACACUGUCUUUCUGAGAAUGAAACUUAGUGACUUAUUAAGUUAUUAUGAACUUAGUCACCCUAGUUCCUAAUGUUUCAUAAGUUUUUUAAGGGAUGGAUGCUUCAAUGACCUUAGAGUAAAAUGCAUUACGAACUCNNNNNNGACGAAAAAUAAUAAGGCACAAAUGUGAAAGUUGGAAUCGAUGAAUAUACUUUGUCUUGUAAAUUUUGUAACGGAUGGAUCAUAGAUGCCUCAGUUACCAUAGAGUAAAAUGUUGGAUGAACUGAUUGACCAUAGUCCCUGAUAUGAAAGUUAGUUGUUGCUUUAAUUGCUACUCAAGCAAUUGUCUCUAUCGGUGUCCGCUUUUCUAUUAAAAAAAUUAUGAAUUUUUAUUCAUAAUAAUGCAUGAAUGGAUAUAUAUUCUAUUUUUAUGACCCUUAGUCUCUAAAUGAAAGAUAGUUGUUACCUCAAUGACUACAGGGUAACAGAUGGAUGAGAUACUAGGGAUAAUGGAUAGAUCAUAGAUGUCUCGUUGACUAUAGAGUAAAAUGUUNNNNNNNNNNNNNNNNNNNNNNNNNNNNNNNNNNNNNNNNNNNNNNNNNNNNNNCUCAAUCGAAAAUGAAUUAUGAAUUCUUUAUUCAUAAUGGAAAAGUUGGAUGGAGGUUUUCAAAGCAAAGCAAUUUUAAUAUGAAAUUUUUUUCAAACCUUGGAUGGUGUCUAUUGCCUUUUAUGACCCUAAUUGUGAAACUGUCACUAGUGGUAUGGUUUACAUGAGAUGACUAACUCCAAAUUCGAUGGAUAUACUUUGUUCCUUGAUUUUUGUAAGUGAUUGUCUUGCUGG